AUGAACGCUGGCGGCGUGCCUAAUACAUGCAAGUCGAGCGAACGGACGAGAAGCUUGCUUCUCUGAUGUUAGCGGCGGACGGGUGAGUAACACGUGGAUAACCUACCUAUAAGACUGGGAUAACUUCGGGAAACCGUAGCUAAUACCGGAUAAUAUUUUGAACCGCAUGGUUCAAAAGUGAAAGACGGUCUUGCUGUCACUUAUAGAUGGAUCCGCGCUGCAUUAGAUAGUUGGUAAGGUAACGGCUUACCAAGGCAACGAUGCAUAGCCGACCUGAGAGGGUGAUCGGCCACACUGGAACUGAGACACGGUCCAGACUCCUACGGGAGGCAGCAGUAGGGAAUCUUCCGCAAUGGGCGAAAGCCUGACGGAGCAACGCCGCGUGAGUGAUGAAGGUCUUCGGAUCGUAAAACUCUGUUAUUAGGGAAGAACAUAUGUGUAAGUAACUGUGCACAUCUUGACGGUACCUAAUCAGAAAGCCACGGCUAACUACGUG
Molecule: ribosomal RNA, 496 nt
Filed under: uncultured bacterium
Lineage: Bacteria
Description: partial 16S ribosomal RNA
Rfam family: Bacterial small subunit ribosomal RNA
Source: RNAcentral